Molecule: long non-coding RNA, 356 nt
Organism: Notothenia coriiceps (black rockcod)
Lineage: Eukaryota; Metazoa; Chordata; Actinopteri; Perciformes; Nototheniidae
Exons: 4
Source: RefSeq, a predicted model, not a curated record
CCUCGCGCCAUGUUGGUAUAAAUAGCAGUGAGCAGCGCUUCUUCAAUCACUUCCUCCAGAAAACGACUCAGCAGAGACGACAUCAUCUCCGAAACAAACGGUUUAACAUGUGUGUCUCCGGGUGCUGCUUCAUCUCUGAGCUGAUAGCUGAAGUCCACACCAGAGUACCAUCAGCGCCGUGGAGAAAUGACCCUCCAGGCCACCGUAGUGAAGCUGCUGAUCAUGAAGGAUGAUGGGAUGAAAUCAUCGGCAAGCAGAAAUGAUUAACUUCGAUACAGGGUGGAGUCGGUGCUCUCUGUGCUGUAGUCGACCCACUGGAGCUGGCUAAUCCCUGGUAUGUAUAUAUUUUAUCGGGU